This 253-nucleotide ribosomal RNA is filed under the name uncultured bacterium. Its description in RNAcentral is "partial 16S ribosomal RNA". It matches the Rfam family "Bacterial small subunit ribosomal RNA", at positions 524 to 776 of the family's 1533-position model. The record is from RNAcentral.
UACGGGGGGGGCAAGCGUUGUUCGGAAUUACUGGGCGUAAAGGGCUCGUAGGCGGCCAACUAAGUCAUACGUGAAAUCCCCCGGCUUAACCUGGGAACUGCGUCUGAUACUGGAAGGCUUGAGUAUGGGAGAGGGAUGUAGAAUUCCAGGUGUAGCGGUGAAAUGCGUAGAUAUCUGGAGGAAUACCGGUGGCGAAGGCGGCAUCCUGGACCAUUACUGACGCUGAGGCGCGAAAGCUAGGGGAGCAAACGGG